UGUGAGUACAUUUAGUUCUGAGUUGGCAUA
This 30-nucleotide microRNA is filed under the name Tribolium castaneum (red flour beetle). RNAcentral describes it as "tca-miR-3851q-5p". The record is from miRBase by way of RNAcentral. Lineage: Eukaryota; Metazoa; Arthropoda; Insecta; Coleoptera; Tenebrionidae.